AAAAGAAAAAGAGAAUGAAACGAAACAGAGAGCAGGGGGAAAGAAAGAAGGAAGGAAGAAAGAAAGAAGGAAAAAGGGAAAAAUUGGGAUUUCAAGGCCUGAAAGUUAAAUAGGUUAAGCUAAAGAAAGAUUGUCGAAUCAGCAUCCUAAGCCGAUCCCAAACUCAACAAGGUAAAAUAUGUUAAUUGUUGAUAAUGGCAUGUACCUAGGCUAUUAAGUUAAUAGAGUAAAAAUGUUCAAGAAUGGUUUAAAGAUGUUAGGUCAUAAAUUGAAAUCUGCAUGCUUGAAUGUUAAUAUAA
Gossypium arboreum is the source of this 299-nucleotide long non-coding RNA. RefSeq lists it as uncharacterized. The transcript is spliced from 2 exons. NCBI's taxonomy places the organism in Eukaryota, Viridiplantae, Streptophyta, Magnoliopsida, Malvales, Malvaceae. The record is from RefSeq and is a predicted model, not a curated record.